RNAcentral lists this ribosomal RNA (253 nucleotides) under uncultured bacterium. RNAcentral describes it as "partial 16S ribosomal RNA". It matches the Rfam family "Bacterial small subunit ribosomal RNA", at positions 524 to 776 of the family's 1533-position model. The record is from RNAcentral.
UACGUAGGGACCAAGCGUUGUCCGGAAUCAUUGGGCGUAAAGCGCGCGUAGGUGGCCAUUUAAGUCCGCUGUGAAAGUCAAAGGCUCAACCUUUGAAAGCCGGUGGAUACUGGAUGGCUAGAGUACGGAAGAGGCGAGUGGAAUUCCUGGUGUAGCGGUGGAAUGCGCAGAUAUCAGGAGGAACACCAAUAGCGAAGGCAGCUCGCUGGGACGUUACUGACACUGAGGCGCGAAAGCCAGGAGGACAAACAGG